CCUACGGGUGGCUGCAGUAGGGAAUCUUCGGCAAUGGACGAAAGUCUGACCGAGCAACGCCGCGUGAGUGAAGAAGGUUUUCGGAUCGUAAAACUCUGUUGGUAGCGAAGAACGUUGGUGAGAGUGUAAAGCUCAUCAAGUGACGGUAACUACCCAGAAAGGGACGGCUAACUCCGUGCCAGCAGCCGCGGUAAUACGUAGGUACCGAGCGUUGUCGGGAUUUCUUGGGCGUAAAGCGAGGGCGGGGGCUUGAUAAGACCUGGUGUAAAAGUCAGUGGCUCAACCAGUGUAUGCAUGGGAAACUGGUGGACUUGAGUGAAGGAGAGGAGAGCGGAAUUCCAGGUGUAGCGGUGAAAUGCGUAGAUAUAUGGAGGAACACCGGUGGCGAAAGCGGCUCUCUGGACUGUAACUGACACUGAGGCUCGAAAGCGUGGGGAGCAAACAGGAUUAGAUACCCUAGUAGUC
RNAcentral lists this ribosomal RNA (465 nucleotides) under uncultured Lactococcus sp. RNAcentral describes it as "bacterial SSU rRNA". It matches the Rfam family "Bacterial small subunit ribosomal RNA", at positions 338 to 795 of the family's 1533-position model. The record is from RNAcentral. Lineage: Bacteria; Bacillati; Bacillota; Bacilli; Lactobacillales; Streptococcaceae.